Molecule: long non-coding RNA, 780 nt
Filed under: Heterocephalus glaber (naked mole-rat)
Lineage: Eukaryota; Metazoa; Chordata; Mammalia; Rodentia; Bathyergidae
Description: lncRNA (ENSHGLG00100046932.1)
Source: RNAcentral
GUUGAAGUCAAAGUUGUGUUAAUUUGGACUAAAUAAAGGAUUUCUAUUUCCAAAAAAAUGGUGAUUAAACUUGGCUUAAGCUAAUUCUCAGCUCUGAACUGAAGCGACUAGAAGACUGAAUGGUUUGAGGAGGAAUUCUUCUACUGCAGUGGUAUAUCUGCUAGAGGCUGAGCCAGAAGUACAGGAACUCAAAGUGUUGCUACGUAGUAACUAGAGACCUAAAAUGCCAUCAUGUGGAAACGAUCCAUUUGCUUUAGGUUCAACAGUGAAGAUGGGGGAAUGUUGACUGAGAAGCCAAAGAAACCCACCUUCCAGAGCCUUUCUUUGGUUUUGACAAGUAAACAAUGUACCUUCUUGCAAUUAUCACCGUUCAUUUUUAACUCUGAAAAGUGACCUCGAGGAGGUUGGUGUCUUCACAGCCACAGCUCAGAAUUAAUCAGGCUGCUUGACUCAAAUCUCAGCUUCACCACUUGCUCACUGUAGAACUUGGCCAAGGUUCUCACCUUCUCUGCACCAUGGUUUGCUGGACAAUUGAAUCAGGACAUGGAUGAUUAUGAUAAAAUCUAAAUGUUAUCAUCAGCAACCAGCACAGAGAAAACACUCAGUAAAAAUUAGCUCAUAAUAUCUGCUCUAGUAGGAGGGGCUUGUGAUGUUUUUCUAAUAAAGAAAUAUUCUUUUAAUGUGAUAAUGAAAUAUUCCACAGUAUGGAAUUAUUAGCUCAUUUCCAUCUACUCUAAGGACAAAUGUAGGUGAUAUCUCACAGAGUGAAGUAAGUUAUGG